RNAcentral lists this ribosomal RNA (517 nucleotides) under uncultured Bacteroidota bacterium. Its description in RNAcentral is "bacterial SSU rRNA". It matches the Rfam family "Bacterial small subunit ribosomal RNA", at positions 9 to 523 of the family's 1533-position model. Lineage: Bacteria; Pseudomonadati; Bacteroidota. The record is from RNAcentral.
GAGUUUGAUCAUGGCUCAGGAUGAACGCCAGCGGCAGGCUUAACACAUGCAAGUCGAGGGGUAAGGCUUUCUUCGGAGAGUACACGACCGGCGCACGGGUGAGUAACGCGUAUGCAAUCUACCUAUAACUGAGGGAUAGCCCAGAGAAAUUUGGAUUAAUACUUCAUAAUAUCAAUUUAAGGCAUCUUUUUUUGAUUAAAGCUCCGGCGGUUAUAGAUGAGCAUGCGUCCCAUUAGUUAGUUGGUAAGGUAACGGCUUACCAAGACAUCGAUGGGUAGGGGGUCUGAGAGGAUGAUCCCCCACACUGGUACUGAGACACGGACCAGACUCCUACGGGAGGCAGCAGUGAGGAAUAUUGGUCAAUGGACGCAAGUCUGAACCAGCCAUGCCGCGUGCAGGAUGACGGCCCUAUGGGUUGUAAACUGCUUUUAUACGGGAAAAAUUCCUCCGACGUGUCGGAGGUUGAUGGUACCGUAAGAAUAAGCAUCGGCUAACUCCGUGCCAGCAGCCGCGGUAA